This 438-nucleotide ribosomal RNA is filed under the name uncultured bacterium. Its description in RNAcentral is "partial 16S ribosomal RNA". It matches the Rfam family "Bacterial small subunit ribosomal RNA", at positions 339 to 795 of the family's 1533-position model. The record is from RNAcentral.
CUACGGGACGCAGCAGUGGGGAAUAUUGCACAAUGGGCGCAAGCCUGAUGCAGCAACGCCGCGUGAAUGAUGAAGGCCUUCGGGUCGUAAAAUUCUGUCCUUAAGGAAGAUAAUGACGGUACUUAAGGAGGAAGCCCCGGCUAACUACGUGCCAGCAGCCGCGGUAAUACGUAGGGGGCUAGCGUUAUCCGGAUUUACUGGGCGUAAAGGGUGCGUAGGUGGUUUUUCAAGUCAGAGGUUAAAGGCUACGGCUCAACCGUAGUAAGCCUUUGAAACUGGAAAACUUGAGUGCAGGAGAGGAAAGUGGAAUUCCCAGUGUAGCGGUGAAAUGCGUAGAUAUUGGGAGGUACACCAGUAGCGAAGGCGGCUUUCUGGACUGUAACUGACACUGAGGCACGAAAGCGUGGGUAGCAAACAGGAUUAGAUACCCGCGUAGUC